RNAcentral lists this ribosomal RNA (254 nucleotides) under uncultured bacterium. Its description in RNAcentral is "partial 16S ribosomal RNA". It matches the Rfam family "Bacterial small subunit ribosomal RNA", at positions 524 to 776 of the family's 1533-position model. The record is from RNAcentral.
UACGUAGGGUGCAAGCGUUAAUCGGAAUUACUGGGCGUAAAGCGUGCGCAGGCGGUUUUGUAAGUCUGUCGUGAAAGCCCCCGGGCUUAACCUGGGAAUUGCGAUGGAGACUGCAAGGCUUGAAUCUGGCAGAGGGGGGUAGAAUUCCACGUGUAGCAGUGAAAUGCGUAGAGAUGUGGAGGAACACCGAUGGCGAAGGCAGCCCCCUGGGUCAAGAUUGACGCUCAUGCACGAAAGCGUGGGGAGCAAACAGG